ACGGGUGAGUAACACGUGGGAACGUGCCCUUUGGUUCGGAACAACUCAGGGAAACUUGAUAUAAUACCGGAUAAGCCCUUCGGGGGAAAGAUUUAUCGCCAUUGGAGCGGCCCGCGUAGGAUUAGCUAGUUGGUGGGGUAAAGGCCCACCAAGGCUACGAUCCUUAGCUGGUCUGAGAGGAUGAUCAGCCACAUUGGGACUGAGACACGGCCCAAACUCCUACGGGAGGCAGCAGUGGGGAAUCUUGCGCAAUGGGCGAAAGCCUGACGCAGCCAUGCCGCGUGAAUGAUGAAGGUCUUAGGAUUGUAAAAUUCUUUCACCGGGGACGAUAAUGACGGUACCCGGAGAAGAAGCCCCGGCUAACUUCGUGCCAGCAGCCGCGGUAAUACGAAGGGGGCUAGCGUUGCUCGGAAUUACUGGGCGUAAAGGGAGCGUAGGCGGAUAGUUUAGUCAGAGGUGAAAGCCCAGGGCUCAACCUUGGAAUUGCCUUUGAUACUGGCUAUCUUGAGUACGGAAGAGGUAUGUGGAACUCCGAGUGUAGAGGUGAAAUUCGUAGA
This 557-nucleotide ribosomal RNA is filed under the name Caulobacter sp. RDB-082. Its description in RNAcentral is "bacterial SSU rRNA". It matches the Rfam family "Bacterial small subunit ribosomal RNA", at positions 102 to 694 of the family's 1533-position model. The record is from RNAcentral. RNAcentral also lists the same sequence under 6 other names. Lineage: Bacteria; Pseudomonadati; Pseudomonadota; Alphaproteobacteria; Caulobacterales; Caulobacteraceae.